Molecule: ribosomal RNA, 253 nt
Filed under: uncultured bacterium
Lineage: Bacteria
Description: partial 16S ribosomal RNA
Rfam family: Bacterial small subunit ribosomal RNA
Source: RNAcentral
UACAGAGGUCUCAAGCGUUGUUCGGAUUCAUUGGGCGUAAAGGGUGCGUAGGUGGCGCGGUAAGUCGGGUGUGAAAUUUCGGAGCUUAACUCCGAAACUGCAUUCGAUACUGCCGUACUUGAGGACUGGAGAGGAGACUGGAAUUUACGGUGUAGCGGUGAAAUGCGUAGAUAUCUGGAGGAACACCGGUGGCGAAGGCGGCGUUCUGGACUGCAACUGACACUGAGGAACGAAAGCCAGGGGAGCAAACGGG